CCCUUAGAUGUUCUUGGCCGCACGCGCGCUACACUGACGAUGGCAACGAGUUUUUCCUUCGCCGAAAGGUGUGGGUAAUCUUUUGAAACAUCGUCGUGCUGGGGAUAGAUCAUUGCAAUUUUUGAUCUUGAACGAGGAAUUCCUAGUAAGCGCGAGUCAUCAGCUCGCGUUGAUUACGUCCCUGCCCUUUGUACACACCGCCCGUCGCUACUACCGAUUGAAUGGUUUAGUGAGGACUCCUGAUUGGCGCCGCCGCCCCGGCAACGGAGCAGCGGACUGCCGAAAAGUUGUUCAAACUUGAUCAUUUAGAGGAAGUAAAAGUCGUAACA
RNAcentral lists this ribosomal RNA (329 nucleotides) under uncultured eukaryote. RNAcentral describes it as "partial 18S ribosomal RNA". It matches the Rfam family "Eukaryotic small subunit ribosomal RNA", at positions 1470 to 1796 of the family's 1831-position model. The record is from RNAcentral.